AGGAUGAACGCUGGCGGUCUGCUUAACACAUGCAAGUCGAACGGGCGUAGCAAUACGUUAGUGGCGGACGGGUGAGUAACGCGUGAGAAUCUACCUUCAGGACGGAGACAACAGUUGGAAACGACUGCUAACCCCCGAUGUACUGAAAAGGCAAAUAUUUAUAGCCUGAAGAAGAGCUCGCGUCCGAUUAGCUAGUUGGAGAGGUAAAAGCUCACCAAGGCGACGAUCGGUAGCUGGUCUGAGAGGACGAUCAGCCACACUGGGACUGAGACACGGCCCAGACUCCUACGGGAGGCAGCAGUGGGGAAUUUUCCGCAAUGGGCGAAAGCCUGACGGAGCAAGACCGCGUGGGGGAAGAAGGCUCGUUGGGUUGUAAACCCCCUUUUUCUCUUGGGAAGAGCGCAAUGACGGUACCAGAGGAAUCAGCAUCGGCUAACUCCGUGCCAGCAGCCGC
RNAcentral lists this ribosomal RNA (454 nucleotides) under uncultured bacterium. Its description in RNAcentral is "SSU rRNA". It matches the Rfam family "Bacterial small subunit ribosomal RNA", at positions 26 to 518 of the family's 1533-position model. The record is from RNAcentral.